Molecule: ribosomal RNA, 860 nt
Filed under: Exserohilum turcicum
Lineage: Eukaryota; Fungi; Ascomycota; Dothideomycetes; Pleosporales; Pleosporaceae
Description: partial 28S ribosomal RNA
Rfam family: Eukaryotic large subunit ribosomal RNA
Source: RNAcentral
AGAACAACAGGGAUGCCCUAGUAACGGCGAGUGAAGCGGCAACAGCUCAAAUUUGAAAUCUGGCUCUUUCAGAGUCCGAGUUGUAAUUUGCAGAGGGCGCUUUGGCUUUGGCAGCGGUCCAAGUUCCUUGGAACAGGACGUCACAGAGGGUGAGAAUCCCGUACGUGGUCGCUAGCUAUUGCCGUGUAAAGCCCCUUCGACGAGUCGAGUUGUUUGGGAAUGCAGCUCUAAAUGGGAGGUAAAUUUCUUCUAAAGCUAAAUAUUGGCCAGAGACCGAUAGCGCACAAGUAGAGUGAUCGAAAGAUGAAAAGCACUUUGGAAAGAGAGUCAAACAGCACGUGAAAUUGUUGAAAGGGAAGCGCUUGCAGCCAGACUUGCUUGCAGUUGCUCAUCCGGGCUUUUGCCCGGUGCACUCUUCUGCAGGCAGGCCAGCAUCAGUUUGGGCGGUGGGAUAAAGGUCUCUGUCAUGUACCUCUCUUCGGGGAGGCCUUAUAGGGGAGGCGACAUACCACCAGCCUAGACUGAGGUCCGCGCAUCUGCUAGGAUGCUGGCGUAAUGGCUGUAAGCGGCCCGUCUUGAAACACGGACCAAGGAGUCUAACAUCUAUGCGAGUGUUUGGGUGUCAAGCCCGAGCGCGUAAUGAAAGUGAACGGAGGUGGGAACCCGCAAGGGUGCACCAUCGACCGAUCCUGAAGUUUACGGAAGGAUUUGAGUAAGAGCAUGGCUGUUGGGACCCGAAAGAUGGUGAACUAUGCUUGAAUAGGGUGAAGCCAGAGGAAACUCUGGUGGAGGCUUCGCAGCGGUUUCUGACGUGCAAAUCGAUUCGUCAAAUUUGGGCAUAGGGCGAAAGACUAAUCGAA